RNAcentral lists this ribosomal RNA (2033 nucleotides) under marine metagenome. Its description in RNAcentral is "bacterial LSU rRNA". It matches the Rfam family "Bacterial large subunit ribosomal RNA", at positions 468 to 2689 of the family's 2925-position model. The record is from RNAcentral.
ACAUAUGCAUAUGAGACCGAUAGUGAACAAGUACUGUGAAGGAAAGGUGAAAAGAACCCUCUUGUAUAGUGAGUGAAAAGAUCUGAAACAAAAUACAUACAAUCAAUCGAUAUAUUAAAAAAAUGUAUCGGUGUACCUUUUGCAUAAUGGGUCAGCGACUAAAUGUGUGCAGCUUGCUUAAGCAAAGAUGUGGAGGCAAAGCAAAAGCGAGUAGGUUUUCCUGCGUUUGUUGCAUGCAUUUGACCCGAAACUAAGUGAUCUCGUUUUGAGCAGGUUGAAGAAAGCGUAAUGUCUUUUGGAGGACCGAACCGACGUCUGUAGCAAUAGGCGCGGAUGACUUGAUACGAGGGGUGAAAGGCCAAUCAAACUUAGAAAUAGCUGGUUCUUCGCGAAAUUUAUUGAGGUAAAGCGUAUGUGAGAUCUUUCUGGGGGUAGAGCACUUAUUGAGCUAUGGGGGUCCAAAACCUUACUGCUCUCAAGAAAACUCCGAAUACCAGUAAAGUGUAAUAGGCAGACAGACAAGCAGUGCUAAGGUUGCUUGUCGAAAGGGAAACAGCCCAGCCUGGCCGCUAAGGUCCCUAAGCUUUCUGUGAGUGGGAAAAGAAGUGAGACAACGUUGACAACUAGGAGGUUGGCUUGGAAGCAGCCAUUCUAUCAUGAAAGCGUAAUAGCUCACUAGUCGAGUUGUUUUGCACUGAAAAUGUAUCGGGGCUGAACAGAAACACCGACGCGCUGGUUUAAAGAUCUUUAUUUAAAGGUAGCGAAGCGUUUUGUACGCCAAUGAAGAAGAUACGUGAGUAUUUUUGGAGGUAUCAAAAGUGACUAUGCUGACAUGAGUAACGAAAAUCAUGUAGAAUCAUGAUCACCGUAUGUUCAAGGGUUUCUGCGUUCUGGUCUACAGCGCAGAGUUAUGUUCGGUCCCUAAGAGAUACACGCAUCCGUGUGCUUAAUGGACAGUAUUUAUAUAGGACGGUAUUUGCUUCUAAAAGCUACAAUUGGAUAUGGUGUAUAGUAAGUAAAUAUCCAGGAAAAUUUAUAAAUGUAUUGACCGUACCCUAAACCGACACAGGUGAACGAGUCGAAUAGACUCAGGUGAUGAGAGAACCACAUUGAAGGAACUCGGCAAAAUAUUCCCGUACCUUAGGAAGAAGGGAAACCAAGUAUGGUGACACAAAAAUGGGGGUGACGACUUUUUACUAAAAAAUUAGGACUCUGCAAAAUGGUAACAUGCUGUAUAGGGUCUGACGUCUGCCCGGUGCUAGAAGUCUAAAAGGCGCAUUGCAAGAUGCAAAUGGAAAGCCUAGUAAACGGCGGUUGUAACUAUAACAAUCAUAAAGUAGCGAAAUUCAUUGCCAGCUAAUUCCUGGCCUGCAUGAAAGACGUAACGAUUGCCCCGCUGUCUCCAGUAUGGGCUCAGUGAAAUUGAAUUCUCCGUGCAGAUGCGGAGUACGUGCCCCAAGACGAGAAGACCCUGUGCAUCUUUACUGUACAUUUGCAUUGACAACACGGUGUGUCUGUGUAGGAUAGGUGGGAGUGCAUACACCCUUGAAAUACCACCCUUACCAUCGUUUUUGUCUAACACCUUUGUGGUGCACCAUGCAUGUGAGGCAGUUUGACUGGGGCGGUCGCCUCCUAAAGAGUAACGGAGGCGUGCGAAGGUAAACUCAAUGUAGAUCGGAAACCUACUGAAGAGCAUAAUGGUAUAAGUUUGCCUGACUGCAAGAUUCACAGAUCGAGCAGAGACGAAAGUCGGUCAUAAUGAUCCACAAGUACUGAGUGGAAAGGCUUGUGCUUAACGAAUCAAAGAUACGCCAGGGAUAACAGGCUGAUAAUUCCCUAGAGUCCAUAUCGACGGAAUUGUUUGGCACCUCGAUGUUGACUGAUCAUAUCCUGGGGCUGAAGAAGGUCCCAAGGGUUCGGCUGUUCGCCGAAUAAAAUGGUACCUGAGUUGAGUUUAGAACGUCGUGAGACAGUUUGGAUUCUACCUGGGGUGCGCGUGAAAGAAUUGUGGAAACCACAUCCUUGUACGAGAG